GGCCUCAAAUAACGUGUGAC
Molecule: ribosomal RNA, 20 nt
Filed under: Culex tritaeniorhynchus
Lineage: Eukaryota; Metazoa; Arthropoda; Insecta; Diptera; Culicidae
Description: partial 28S ribosomal RNA
Source: RNAcentral